AGAGGCGGGAUUGGAAGACAACGAUCGUCGCGAUGCAUGCCGGGCUCCCUUAUGCAGCUCGUUAAAAAGCGUAGGGAAACACAAUUGCCAAUAACAAUGAAUUGGCUCUCGCUGCCUAAUUAGGCGUCGGGCGUCUCACCGCAAGUUGCUCAUGCGCGCGGAAUGAGAUGUCACUCAGAUGAGCUGGCCCGCUGCUUCGGUCCGUGGCAGUAGGCGAGAUAAAGUCGGACUAGCUCAUGCUGAGGUCUUGUCGUUUCACUGACUCGGCACUGAGCGAAAUUUUUCCCGAGCAAUCGGGAGAGAAAGAGAAACGACUAAGCAUGUAGACUCCUUCGGCGUUGGUUUUUGGAUCCGAGUUCAAUUCUCGGCGCCUCCACCA
Molecule: transfer-messenger RNA, 379 nt
Filed under: Acidobacteriota bacterium
Lineage: Bacteria; Pseudomonadati; Acidobacteriota
Description: Acidobacteria bacterium transfer-messenger RNA
Rfam family: transfer-messenger RNA
About the family: Bacterial tmRNA, also known as 10Sa RNA or SsrA, is named for its dual tRNA and mRNA-like properties. Its role is to liberate the mRNA from a stalled ribosome.
Source: RNAcentral